This 253-nucleotide ribosomal RNA is filed under the name uncultured bacterium. RNAcentral's name for it is "partial 16S ribosomal RNA". It matches the Rfam family "Bacterial small subunit ribosomal RNA", at positions 524 to 776 of the family's 1533-position model. The record is from RNAcentral.
UACGAAGGGGGCUAGCGUUGCUCGGAAUCACUGGGCGUAAAGCGCACGUAGGCGGACUCUUAAGUCAGGGGUGAAAUCCUGGAGCUCAACUCCAGAACUGCCUUUGAUACUGGGAGUCUUGAGUUCGGGAGAGGUGAGUGGAACUGCGAGUGUAGAGGUGAAAUUCGUAGAUAUUAGGAAGAACACCAGUGGCGAAGGCGGCUCACUGGCCCGGUACUGACGCUGAGGCGCGAAAGCGUGGGGAGCAAACAGG